GGACGAUUAGCUCAGCGGGAGAGCACUACCUUGACACGGUAGGGGUCACAGGUUCAAUCCCUGUAUCGUCCA
Transfer RNA from Saccharothrix espanaensis DSM 44229, 72 nucleotides. It matches the Rfam family "tRNA". Rfam says of the family: Transfer RNA (tRNA) molecules are approximately 80 nucleotides in length. NCBI's taxonomy places the organism in Bacteria, Bacillati, Actinomycetota, Actinomycetes, Pseudonocardiales, Pseudonocardiaceae. The record is from Rfam.